CCUACGGGAGGCAGCAGUGGGGAAUAUUGCGCAAUGGGCGAAAGCCGGACGCAGCGACGCCGCGUGAGGGAUGAAGGUCGUCGGAGCGUAAACCUCUGUCAGCAGGGAAGAACGGUCACUGAGCUAAGCAGCAGUGAAUUGACGGUACCUGCAAAGGAAGCACCGGCUAACUCCGUGCCAGCAGCCGCGGUAAUACGGAGGGGGAGAGCGGUAAGCGGAAUUACAGGGCGUAAAGCUCUCGUAUGCGGUAUGUCAAGUCAAGGGUGAAAUCCCCGCGCGCAACGUGGGAACUGCCUUUGAAACUGGCAAACUGGAGUGUGUGAGCGGAUAGUGGAAUUCCAGGUGU
Molecule: ribosomal RNA, 346 nt
Filed under: uncultured bacterium
Lineage: Bacteria
Description: partial 16S ribosomal RNA
Rfam family: Bacterial small subunit ribosomal RNA
Source: RNAcentral